This 1512-nucleotide long non-coding RNA is filed under the name Equus caballus (horse). RNAcentral describes it as "lncRNA (ENSECAG00000036331.3)". The record is from RNAcentral. Lineage: Eukaryota; Metazoa; Chordata; Mammalia; Perissodactyla; Equidae.
UAUCACACCAAAUGGUCUCUUUCCCUAGGCUUUUCUUGAAACAUCCUUAACCCUUUGGGUCCACUCAUCUUUGAUCCCUUUUGUAAACCUCCAGGCCUUUGAGGAUAGGCUGAGGUAUAUUCAUUAACUCCUUCCCUUGUUUCUACUAAUUUCAUUUCAACACUCAAGUCCAUUUCAAGCUACGCCUGUUCCAGGAAGCCGCCUCGUCAUCCAGCUCCGCCCUGAGCCAUUCGUGGGAAGCAGAGACGCUACAAAUACUGAGUAGGGAAAAUGAAUUCCUUCAGAGCUGUCUUCCUAUCUUAUUAUUGGAAUUUUACUGCAGUAUCCAUUUCUUGGAGAAAUUUAGGGACUGCAGCCUUCCACUGGGACACCCAGCCUUUGCUCGAGCCCCUGCCUCGCCCGGAUUGGACUGCAGAGGGAGCGGUCAGUCGUCAGUCCCCCUUCACUCUGCAAAGCAGGAGGCUGCAAAUUGUGGCGCCACCCUUCCUUCCGGUUUCCAAAGCGCUUCCUCAAAUGCGGAACGUUUAAGGAGAUGGAAAGAGAGGAGAAGUUGGAAGAGACUAAUUGGACACUCCAGCGAGAAAAGCACCACAGCCACUUGGUGUCGGUGUGGGGAACAGGGCAGCAGCGUGGGGGAGACAGCAGUGUCUGCAAAGGGGCAGUGGUCCCAGGCGGUGGGCUGGUCCGCGCUCAGGAUGCCUACUUUAGUUUCACAACUGCCUCUUACCUCCUGACAUUAUUGUGGGAAAGGUGCUAAAUCUACCUGAACCCCAGUUUUCUCAUCUGUAAGACAGCAAUAAUAAUAUCUGCUGGGCCAAUUUCACACGAUUGUUGCAAGGAUCAAAUACUACGAUAACGGGGGUGAAAGUGCUCUGAAGGGUUAAAGCCUGUGUGUGUGGGGGGGGGGGCACCACCGAUAUCAACAUGGAGGGAAGGGCAUGCAGGGAGGUGACAAAGGUAAUAUCCGACAAAGAGCAAGUGCUUACCCGUGCCAGACAAUGUUUAAGAGCCUGACAUGUACGAAAGCACCUAAAGUAAUGAGAGGGAAGACUCAUAGACCAUCUGCUUUGCCGAGUCACCCCAGAUGAAAGCACUGAUGUACCAUUUUCUUUUUUUUAAAGAUUUUAUUUUUUUCCCAAAACCCCCUGGCACAUAGUUGUGUAUUUUUUUUUUUAGUUGUGGGUUCUUCUAGUUGUGGCAUGUGGGAUGCCCCCUCAGCACGGCUUGAUGAGCAGUGCCAUGUCCACAGCCAGGAUUCGAACUGGCGAAACCCUGGGCCACUGAAGCAGAGCGCGCAAACCUAACCACUCGGCCACGGGGCCAGCCCAUGACGUACCAUUUUUAAUAAAAGAAUAAAACAACCAUCUUUGAGAUGAAUAAACUCAGUCCUGUCGUUAACUGCAUGGAUCUGUUACUUAAUAUUUCCAAGUCUCAUUUUUCUUUCAGUAAAAUGGAAAUUACAGUACCCACUGUAAUGCACAGAGUAUAUAAGAUAAUUGAAUUCCUUCCUCA